CAAUAGCGUAUAUUAAAGUUGUUGCAGUUAAAAAGCUCGUAGUUGGAUUUGUGGCGUACGGUGUGUUCCGGGCACUUGUUGUCUGAGUAACCUGCUGUUGCCAUCCUUGGGUGGAACCUGUGUGGCAUUAGGUUGUCGUGCAGGGGAUGCCCAUCAUUUACUGUGAAAAAAUUAGAGUGUUCAAAGCAGGCUUAUGCCGUUGAAUAUAUUAGCAUGGAAUAAUGAGAUAGGACUUUCUUGCUAUUUUGUUGGUUUGCGCAAAGAGGUAAUGAUUAAUAGGGACAGUUGGGGGUAUUCGUAUUCCAUUGUCAGAGGUGAAAUUCUUGGAUUUUUGGAAGACGAACUACUGCGAAAGCAUUUACCAAGGAUGCUUUCAUUAA
This 380-nucleotide ribosomal RNA is filed under the name uncultured eukaryote. RNAcentral describes it as "partial 18S ribosomal RNA". It matches the Rfam family "Eukaryotic small subunit ribosomal RNA", at positions 592 to 976 of the family's 1831-position model. The record is from RNAcentral.